RNAcentral lists this ribosomal RNA (529 nucleotides) under uncultured fungus. RNAcentral describes it as "SSU rRNA". It matches the Rfam family "Eukaryotic small subunit ribosomal RNA", at positions 288 to 822 of the family's 1831-position model. Lineage: Eukaryota; Fungi. The record is from RNAcentral.
CGAUGGUUCAUUCAAAUUUCUGCCCUAUCAACUUUCGAUGGUAGGAUAGUGGCCUACCAUGGUUGGUAACGGGUAACGGGGAAUUAGGGUUCUAUUCCGGAGAGGGAGCCUGAGAAACGGCUACCACAUCCAAGGAAGGCAGCAGGCGCGCAAAUUACCCAAUCCCGACACGGGGAGGUAGUGACAAUAAAUACUGAUGCAGAGCUCUUUAGGGUUUUGCAAUUGGAAUGAGUACAAUUUAAAUCCCUUAACGAGGAACAAUUGGAGGGCAAGUCUGGUGCCAGCAGCCGCGGUAAUUCCAGCUCCAAUAGCGUAUAUUAAAGUUGUUGCAGUUAAAAAGCACGUAGUUGAACCUUGGGCCUGGCUGGCCGGUCCGCCUCACCGCGUGCACUGGUCCGGCCGGGCCUUUCCUUCUGGGGAGCCACAUGCCCUUCACUGGGUGUGUCGGGGAACCAGGACUUUUACUUUGAAAAAAUUAGAGUGUUCAAAGCAGGCCUAUGCUCGAAUACAUUAGCAUGGAAUAAUAAAA